UCCAUAGGAACAUCACAUGUUCCGCUCCAAAGUAAUAAAGGUAUCCAUUGGAACAUCACAUGUUCCUCUCCAAAGUAAUGAAGGUAUCCAUUGGAACAUCACAUGUUCCUCUUCAAAGUAAUAAAGGUAUCCAUUGGAACAUCAAAUGUUCCUCUCCAAAGUAAUGAAGGUAUCCAUAGGAACAUCACAUGUUUCUCUCCAAAGUAAUAAAGGUAUCCAUUUGAACAUUACAUGUUCCUCUCCAAAGUAAUAAAGGUAUCCAUAGGAACAUCACAUGUUCCGCUCCAAAGUAAUGAAGGUAUCCAUAGGAACAUCACAUGUGUCUUACCAAUGUAAAUAAGGUAUCCAUAGGAACAUCCCAUGUGUCUUACCAAUGUAAAUAAGGUAUCCAUAGGAACAUCCCAUGUGUCUUACCAAUGUAAAUAAGGUAUCCAUAGGAACAUGGGGGCCUAGGUGGCCAAGUGGUCGAAGUAGUUACUACUGUAAUCACUAGCCAGUCAACACUGAGGUUGUGAGUUGGAACCCCGCUCGUGCGGGUGCACAUGACUCCAAUCUUAAUUGACUUAGGGUUGUCAGUUUUCCUAUUGAAGGUCAGUAGUUUUCUCCAGGCACUCUGGCUUCCUCCACCAGUACAAACUGGCCGCCAUGAAAUAGCCAAAGUAGUGCUUAAAAGUGGCGUUAAAACACCAAAAAAUCAAAUUCAAAUCCAUAGGUGCACUGCAUGCUCCAAAUUUACUGGUAUCUGAUAUCCAUUGGAAUCCAAAUUUAGCUGUUCAGUUUGUAUUGAUGACAGAUUGGCUUUACAAUGAACUUUGAACUCAAAGAAAUGGAUACACAUGUUUCAGAAAAGUAAGUUUGGUACCUAUAUCUCUUUUCACACUUUUGUUGUUUUUAAAUAAUUUGUAAAUUUUAUUGUAAAUGUAACAUAUUUAAGUUGUCAAAUUUUUGUGUAAAAAGGGGAAUGACCAUUUCAAAACUGUUUUUCAAUAUUUUUGUUAAAGAUUUUCAGGAGGAAACAGAAAAAUUAUUUAUGAAAAUGUGGAUAGUGUCAAAUGUGUAUAUAGUUUUAAGAAAAAUAGAAAAAAACAAAAAAAUGCAUGGGUGAUGGUUUUUAAUGAUUUUAAGAAAAAUAGAAAAAAAAAAAAUAUGCAUGGGUGAUGGUUUUUAAUGAUUUUAAGAAAAAUAGAAAAAAACAAAAAAAUGCAUGGGUGAUGGUUUUUAAUGAUUUUAAGAAAAAAAAAAAAAAAGAAAAAAAAAAAAUA
Molecule: long non-coding RNA, 1262 nt
Organism: Mytilus californianus (California mussel)
Lineage: Eukaryota; Metazoa; Mollusca; Bivalvia; Mytilida; Mytilidae
Exons: 3
Source: RefSeq, a predicted model, not a curated record